AAGUCGUAACAAGGUAACCGUAGGUGAACCUGCGGUUGGAUCAUUAAUAAUGUUUUGUACCUGUAAUAUCCUUGAUUUAAUCAAGGUAUGUGUACUAACAAACUUUGUGUGAUAUGUUUUCUGUUUCUCGUGAAUCGAGUGAGGUAGUUCUUGGAGAGUGGCAUUCUGAUGCCAUUCAAUAAGGAAUGUACUACAUCCUGGGUAGGACUAUUUUAAAAUAGUCUUGCACUGGUUCACGAAAGGACUUGAAAAGCCAGUAAUGGUGGUUCUUGUCCAAAGUAAACUUUUUAGCUAUUUAGUUUUAUGUCUAAAUAUUUUAUCACAUUUAUGUGUGAAAAAUUUUAAAACAACUUUUGACAACGGAUCUCUUGGUUCUC
This 377-nucleotide unclassified non-coding RNA is filed under the name fungal sp. Its description in RNAcentral is "partial internal transcribed spacer region". The stretch from base 1 to 46 matches the Rfam family "Eukaryotic small subunit ribosomal RNA", at positions 1786 to 1831 of the family's 1831-position model. Lineage: Eukaryota; Fungi. The record is from RNAcentral.